UGGGGAAUUUUGGACAAUGGGCGCAAGCCUGAUCCAGCCAUGCCGCGUGCGGGAAGAAGGCCUUCGGGUUGUAAACCGCUUUUAGCUGGGAAGAAAAGGCACGGGCUAACAGUCCGUGUUCUUGACGGUACCGGCGGAAUAAGCACCGGCUAACUACGUGCCAGCAGCCGCGGUAAUACGUAGGGUGCGAGCGUUAAUCGGAAUUACUGGGCGUAAAGCGUGCGCAGGCGGUGAGCUGUGUCCGAUGUGAAAGCCCCGGGCUUAACCUGGGAAUGGCAUUGGAAACUGGCUUGCUCGAGUGCGGCAGAGGGGGGUGGAAUUCCGCGUGUAGCAGUGAAAUGCGUAGAGAUGCGGAGGAACACCGAUGGCGAAGGCAGCCCCCUGGGUCGACACUGACGCUCAGGCACGAAAGCGUGGGGAGCAAACAG
This 428-nucleotide ribosomal RNA is filed under the name uncultured bacterium. Its description in RNAcentral is "bacterial SSU rRNA". It matches the Rfam family "Bacterial small subunit ribosomal RNA", at positions 355 to 775 of the family's 1533-position model. The record is from RNAcentral.